This 465-nucleotide ribosomal RNA is filed under the name uncultured bacterium. Its description in RNAcentral is "partial 16S ribosomal RNA". It matches the Rfam family "Bacterial small subunit ribosomal RNA", at positions 28 to 507 of the family's 1533-position model. The record is from RNAcentral.
GACGAACGCUGGCGGCGUGCUUAACACAUGCCAGUCGAACGGAAAGGCCCCUUUGGGGGUACUCGAGUGGCGAACGGGUGAGUAACACGUGAGUAACCUGCCCUUGACUUCGGGAUAACUUCAGGAAACUGGGGCUAAUACCGGAUAGGAAUCCUUGCUGCAUGGUGGGGGUUGGAAAGCUUCGGCGGUUUUGGAUGGACUCGCGGCUUAUCAGCUUGUUGGUGGGGUAGUGGCUUACCAAGGCUUUGACGGGUAGCCGGCCUGAGAGGGCGACCGGCCACAUUGGGACUGAGAUACGGCCCAGACUCCUACGGGAGGAAGCAGUGGGGAAUAUUGCACAAUGGGCGGAAGCCUGAUGCAGCAACGCCGCGUGCGGGAUGACGGCCUUCGGGUUGUAAACCGCGUUCAGCAGGGGCGAAGCUUGUGGUGACGGUACCUGCAGAAGAAGCACCGGCUAACUACGUG